GGCAAGAUGGCCGAGCGGUUAAGGCGCUGUGUUCAGGCUUCUUGAUCCAAGCACAGCUUGAUCAGCAGCUUCGCAGUCCGAAAGGGCGUGGGUUCGAAUCCCACUCUUGUCA
Molecule: non-coding RNA, 112 nt
Organism: Cercophora sp. LCS_1
Lineage: Eukaryota; Fungi; Ascomycota; Sordariomycetes; Sordariales; Lasiosphaeriaceae
Source: the annotation of a GenBank genome assembly